RNAcentral lists this ribosomal RNA (1449 nucleotides) under Canadian peach X phytoplasma. RNAcentral's name for it is "16S rRNA". It matches the Rfam family "Bacterial small subunit ribosomal RNA". Lineage: Bacteria; Bacillati; Mycoplasmatota; Mollicutes; Acholeplasmatales; Acholeplasmataceae. The record is from RNAcentral.
AACGGGUGAGUAACACGUAAGCAACCUGCCCUUAAGACGAGGAUAACAAUUGGAAACAGUUGCUAAGACUGGAUAGGAAAAGUAAAGGCAUCUUUACUUUUUUAAAAGAUCUUCUUUGAAGGUAUGCUUAAGGAGGGGCUUGCGACACAUUAGUUAGUUGGUAGGGUAAAGGCCUACCAAGACUAUGAUGUGUAGCUGGACUGAGAGGUUGAACAGCCACAUUGGGACUGAGACACGGCCCAAACUCCUACGGGAGGCAGCAGUAGGGAAUUUUCGGCAAUGGAGGAAACUCUGACCGAGCAACGCCGCGUGAACGAUGAAGUACCUCGGUAUGUAAAGUUCUUUUAUUAAGGAAGAAAAAAGAGUGGAAAAACUCCCUUGACGGUACUUAAUGAAUAAGCCCCGGCUAAUUAUGUGCCAGCAGCCGCGGUAAUACAUAAGGGGCGAGCGUUAUCCGGAAUUAUUGGGCGUAAAGGGUGCGUAGGCGGUUUAAUAAGUCUAUAGUUUAAUUUCAGUGCUUAACGCUGUUGUGCUAUAGAAACUGUUUUACUAGAGUGAGAUAGAGGCAAGCGGAAUUCCAUGUGUAGCGGUAAAAUGCGUAAAUAUAUGGAGGAACACCAGAGGCGUAGGCGGCUUGCUGGGUCUUUACUGACGCUGAGGCACGAAAGCGUGGGGAGCAAACAGGNNNNNNNNNNNNNNNNNNNNNNNNNNNNNNAUGAGUACUAAGUNUCGGGUAAAACUGGUACUGAAGUUAACACAUUAAGUACUCCGCCUGAGUAGUACGUACGCAAGUAUGAAACUUAAAGGAAUUGACGGGACUCCGCACAAGCGGUGGAUCAUGUUGUUUAAUUCGAAGAUACACGAAAAACCUUACCAGGUCUUGACAUUUUCUUGCGAAGUUAUAGAAAUAUAAUGGAGGUCAUCAGGAAAACAGGUGGUGCAUGGUUGUCGUCAGCUCGUGUCGUGAGAUGUUAGGUUAAGUCCUAAAACGAGCGCAACCCUUGUCGUUAGUUGCCAGCAUGUAAUGAUGGGGACUUUAACGAGACUGCCAAUGAAAAAUUGGAGGAAGGUGGGGAUUACGUCAAAUCAUCAUGCCCCUUAUGAUCUGGGCUACAAACGUGAUACAAUGGUUGAUACAAAGAGUAGCUGAAACGCGAGUUCUUAGCCAAUCUCAAAAAAUCAAUCUCAGUUCGGAUUGAAGUCUGCAACUCGACUUCAUGAAGUUGGAAUCGCUAGUAAUCGCGAAUCAGCAUGUCGCGGUGAAUACGUUCUCGGGGUUUGUACACACCGCCCGUCAAACCACGAAAGUUGGCAAUACCCCAAAGCGGUCACCUAACUUCGCAAGAAGAAGGAUCCGUCUAAGGUAGGGUCGAUAAAUCCGUCUAAGGUAGGGUCGAUAAUUGGGGUUAAGUCGUAACAAGGUAUCCCUACCGGAAGGUGGGGAUGGAU